This 495-nucleotide ribosomal RNA is filed under the name Staphylococcus aureus. RNAcentral's name for it is "partial 23S ribosomal RNA". It matches the Rfam family "Bacterial large subunit ribosomal RNA", at positions 2282 to 2776 of the family's 2925-position model. The record is from RNAcentral. Lineage: Bacteria; Bacillati; Bacillota; Bacilli; Caryophanales; Staphylococcaceae. RNAcentral also lists the same sequence under 1 other name.
GUCGCCUCCUAAAAGGUAACGGAGGCGCUCAAAGGUUCCCUCAGAAUGGUUGGAAAUCAUUCAUAGAGUGUAAAGGCAUAAGGGAGCUUGACUGCGAGACCUACAAGUCGAGCAGGGUCGAAAGACGGACUUAGUGAUCCGGUGGUUCCGCAUGGAAGGGCCAUCGCUCAACGGAUAAAAGCUACCCCGGGGAUAACAGGCUUAUCUCCCCCAAGAGUUCACAUCGACGGGGAGGUUUGGCACCUCGAUGUCGGCUCAUCGCAUCCUGGGGCUGUAGUCGGUCCCAAGGGUUGGGCUGUUCGCCCAUUAAAGCGGUACGCGAGCUGGGUUCAGAACGUCGUGAGACAGUUCGGUCCCUAUCCGUCGUGGGCGUAGGAAAUUUGAGAGGAGCUGUCCUUAGUACGAGAGGACCGGGAUGGACAUACCUCUGGUGUACCAGUUGUCGUGCCAACGGCAUAGCUGGGUAGCUAUGUGUGGACGGGAUAAGUGCUGAAA